UCUGCUUGUUCACGUUGGAAACACAGGUUCUUGUCCGAUCACCGAGAUUUAGCAACACUGAGCGCAGUUUGUACGUGCGUGGUUAACCGGCUGGGAAUUCUGGGUGUUGCGGCC
RNAcentral lists this ribosomal RNA (114 nucleotides) under Fasciola hepatica (liver fluke). Lineage: Eukaryota; Metazoa; Platyhelminthes; Trematoda; Plagiorchiida; Fasciolidae. The record is from RNAcentral.